This 317-nucleotide long non-coding RNA is filed under the name Gossypium raimondii (Peruvian cotton). RNAcentral describes it as "long non-coding RNA (GRAI_LNC000440)". Lineage: Eukaryota; Viridiplantae; Streptophyta; Magnoliopsida; Malvales; Malvaceae. The record is from RNAcentral.
GAGCUUGGUUAUUAUUUUUACUCGAUUUUGUAUUAGUGUUUCGGUGGUGUUGGGACUCUGAGGAAGUUGAGAUUAUGCGGUUAGUGGGAAGUUAGGGGUUAUCUGAUUUGUUUGUUAUUUUGUUUUUUUUCUUUCAUUCGAAUUUCUCUCUAUCUCUGACAUUUCUUUUUCCCCUCUCCUCUUCUUUGUUUUCCUCCUUCGAUUUUUCGUGGCUUUCCUCUAAUCUCUGUGGGAUUUUCUUGAUUAAUCAUCGCUACUGCGUUCUUAGUUCUUUAUUCGGCUGGUAAGUGAUUUUUGUUGCAUUUAAAUUUUUGUUU